UCCCCCUUAUGUGAUAACUGACGUUGAGGGACGAAGGCUUUGUGUAGCGAACAGGAUUAGAUACCCCAGUAGUCAAAGCAGAAAAUGAUGAAUGUCAUAGAUUAGAUAAAUAAGUUUAUUYUAUAAAUGAAAGUGUAAGCAUUCCACCUCAAGAGUAAUUUGGCAACAUUGGAACUGAAAUCAUUAGACCGUUUUUGAAACCAGUAGUGAAGUAUGUUGUUUAAUUUGAUGAUCCGCAAAAAACCUUWCCMCAAUUUGAAUAUUUAUAUCUUUUAUUGUUUUUUUUUUAUUUUUCUUCUGAUUUUCAUUGUAUGAUUUUCUUCUUAUUCUAUAUGCAUGCACAUGCACAUGCAAAAGAAUAAGAAAAAAAAACAAUUGAUCAUUAUAUCAUAAUAAAAAGAGGCGAUAUGAUAUAUUUACAAGCGUUGCACGGCGGUCUUCAGUUAAUGUCGCGAGACU
This 459-nucleotide ribosomal RNA is filed under the name Hypogymnia pulverata. RNAcentral describes it as "partial small subunit ribosomal RNA". It matches the Rfam family "Bacterial small subunit ribosomal RNA", at positions 723 to 1074 of the family's 1533-position model. The record is from RNAcentral. Lineage: Eukaryota; Fungi; Ascomycota; Lecanoromycetes; Lecanorales; Parmeliaceae.